UUGAUGGUAUAUUUAUUAUCUGUAAGAACUACAGGUUCUACAGGUUCAGUUUCAAGUUUGCUAAGAUAGACCAGGGCAGAAAUAUAGUUAAUGCGCUCCUACAUCAUAUAAGACCGAAGAAAGCUAAUCUUCUUUUUGCAUUUGAACAACGCCUGUACACACAUUUAGAUGAGGGCAAUAGGAAGAUUUCGAGCUGGAAGGAGAUAAAAAAGAAAUCACAAG
Eurytemora carolleeae is the source of this 222-nucleotide long non-coding RNA. RefSeq lists it as uncharacterized. NCBI's taxonomy places the organism in Eukaryota, Metazoa, Arthropoda, Copepoda, Calanoida, Temoridae. The transcript is spliced from 3 exons. The record is from RefSeq and is a predicted model, not a curated record.